AGCAGCCGCGGUAAUUCCAGCUCCAAUAGCGUAUAUUAAAGUUGUUGCAGUUAAAAAGCUCGUAGUUGAAUUUCAGGCCUGGCUGGACGGUCCGCCUUUUGGGUGAGCACUGUCUGUGGUCGGGUCCUACCUUCUGGCGAAGCGUCAUGGCCUUAACCGGCCGUGGCGGGGAACCAGGACUUUUACUGUGAAAAAAUUAGAGUGUUCAAAGCAGGCAGUCGCUUGGAUACAUUAGCAUGGAAUAAUGGAAUAGGACAAUGGUUCUAUUUGUUGGUUCUAGGACCGUUGUAAUGAUUAAUAGGGAUAGUUGGGGGCAUUAGUAUUCAAUUGUCAGAGGUGAAAUUCUUGGAUUUAUUGAAGACUAACUACUGCGAAAGCAUUUGCCAAGGAUGUUUUCAUUAAUCAAGACGAAAGUUAGGGGAUCGAAGACGAUCAGAUACCGCGUAGUCUUAACCAUAAACUAUGCCGACUGGAAUCGGGCGAUGUUGACAAAAUGACGCGCUCGGCACCGU
RNAcentral lists this ribosomal RNA (512 nucleotides) under uncultured Paraglomus. RNAcentral describes it as "SSU rRNA". It matches the Rfam family "Eukaryotic small subunit ribosomal RNA", at positions 569 to 1089 of the family's 1831-position model. The record is from RNAcentral. Lineage: Eukaryota; Fungi; Glomeromycota; Glomeromycetes; Paraglomerales; Paraglomeraceae.